AAACUUUCAACAAUGGAUCUCUUGGCUCUGGCAUCGAUGAAGAACGCAGCGAAAUGCGAUAAGUAAUGUGAAUUGCAGAAUUCAGUGAAUCAUCGAAUCUUUGAACGCACAUUGCGCCCGCCAGUAUUCUGGCGGGCAUGCCUGUUC
This 147-nucleotide ribosomal RNA is filed under the name Mycogone perniciosa. RNAcentral describes it as "5.8S ribosomal RNA". It matches the Rfam family "5.8S ribosomal RNA". Rfam says of the family: 5.8S ribosomal RNA (5.8S rRNA) is a component of the large subunit of the eukaryotic ribosome. It is transcribed by RNA polymerase I as part of the 45S precursor that also contains 18S and 28S rRNA. The record is from RNAcentral. Lineage: Eukaryota; Fungi; Ascomycota; Sordariomycetes; Hypocreales; Hypocreaceae.